GUGUGAUUAGACAGAUGAGAUCAAUCGCGAUAAACGAUUUAGAUUCGUUUUCUCCUUAAAUGCAUCAGACGGACGAGAUCAAUCGUGAUGAAUGAUCAAAAUCAAUACGGGAUGGGUAUAAUAAAUAUCUCACAUCACAAGGGAACCCAAACUCUAGCUGCCAACGCCCGACGGAGAAGAAGAACUGUGCAUUGGAGAAGGAGGCUAACUGCCGAUCGCCAAAAAAGAAGAUAUUUUCCUCUACCUACUUGGAAUUUGAUUUCAAGCAUUCCUGUGGCCAAAUCAGAGAAAGAGGGACAGCGGGUGAGCUGGAAACCACGAGCAAAGCCCAGCGGAGUCGCCAUAGCCAAAACCUAAAAAUUCCUCUGAUAAGCGCCUUUCUGUUUCC
This 388-nucleotide long non-coding RNA is filed under the name Carica papaya (papaya). RNAcentral describes it as "long non-coding RNA (CPAP_LNC004111)". Lineage: Eukaryota; Viridiplantae; Streptophyta; Magnoliopsida; Brassicales; Caricaceae. The record is from RNAcentral.